GACGAACGCUGGCGGCGUGCUUAACACAUGCAAGUCGAACGGAGCUAUUUAUUUCGGUAGAUAGCUUAGUGGCAAACGGGUGAGUAACGCGUAGGCAACCUGCCCUCAGGAUGGGGACAACGGCUCGAAAGAGCCGCUAAUACCGAAUGACGUAACUCUUCCACAUGGAAGAGAUACUAAAGAUGGGUCAAACCAUCGCCUAAGGAUGGGCCUGCGUCUGAUUAGCCAGUUGGUGAGGUAACGGCUCACCAAAGCGACGAUCAGUAGCCGGUCUGAGAGGAUGAACGGCCACAAUGGGACUGAGACACGGCCCAUACUCCUACGGGAGGCAGCAGUGGGGAAUCUUCCGCAAUGGGCGGAAGCCUGACGGAGCAACGCCGCGUGAGUGAAGAAGGUCUUCGGAUCGUAAAGCUCUGUUGUCGGGGACGAAAGAGUAGACGAGGAAAUGCGUCUACUAAGACGGUA
RNAcentral lists this ribosomal RNA (465 nucleotides) under Veillonellaceae bacterium oral taxon 155. RNAcentral's name for it is "bacterial SSU rRNA". It matches the Rfam family "Bacterial small subunit ribosomal RNA", at positions 28 to 477 of the family's 1533-position model. The record is from RNAcentral. Lineage: Bacteria; Bacillati; Bacillota; Negativicutes; Veillonellales; Veillonellaceae.